Molecule: long non-coding RNA, 313 nt
Organism: Ficedula albicollis (Collared flycatcher)
Lineage: Eukaryota; Metazoa; Chordata; Aves; Passeriformes; Muscicapidae
Exons: 3
Source: RefSeq, a predicted model, not a curated record
GGGUGGGGUCUACUGGCUGUGCUGUGAGCAGUUUCCUUAUGAGACACCUGUAAGUACUACAGAUGAUGUUAAGAGCCCAAGCUACAAUGGAGCAUGUCUGACUCACCUCACUGAAAUACUGGUAGACAAACUGCUUGUGCUGUAAGAUGUUGGAUGAAGCAAAUGUAUGAAGAAAACCAUUCCCCAGAGACACUGAAGAUCUUAAUAAUGUGAGAGGGCUACAGACGGCUUAAUAAGUUACUCAUGUUUACUGUCAGAUGUUGAUGCUCUUAUUUAGCCACGGAAAUAAAUCAAACUGCAAGCUGUCCCACUG